UUUCCAGUGGUAGCUAUUUCCAUAACACGUUCCAGAUCACCCCAAGUACAAUUUGGAGACCUCUACGUUCAAACCGAGAGCAGGUGAAGCUAGGCUCAUCGUUGUACAUACCAUGUCACUCUCCUGAAGAUGUCCUCACUAGUACCGACGAAAUGUCACAAUUGUCGUGGUAUCGGAACGGGGUACAGAUUAGAGAUGACGACAACUACGCGACUCUUAUUAGUCAAAGAUUCUGGGAUGAGAAACAGCUAGUUUCCUUCCUCUGGUGCAUAGUGAAUACUGACAAUGUGGAAGCUUUCGGAACAUAUGAGUGUCGCUCCAAAGACGAUAUCAAAAUAUCGACUGCUCCAUCAGAGACCCUACAAAGCUUUUCAAUUGACCCUCACAACUGGACUG
Long non-coding RNA from Branchiostoma floridae (Florida lancelet), 396 nucleotides. RefSeq lists it as uncharacterized. The transcript has 3 exons. The record is from RefSeq and is a predicted model, not a curated record. NCBI's taxonomy places the organism in Eukaryota, Metazoa, Chordata, Leptocardii, Amphioxiformes, Branchiostomatidae.